Non-coding RNA from Podarcis lilfordi (Lilford's wall lizard), 117 nucleotides. The record is from the annotation of a GenBank genome assembly. NCBI's taxonomy places the organism in Eukaryota, Metazoa, Chordata, Lepidosauria, Squamata, Lacertidae.
GGCCAAGUUUGUUCUGGUAUAAGCUUUCGUGUGCAUGCACACUUCUUCAUAGACAGAAGAUUCCAGGAUCUGAAGAAGUCUGCAUGCACACGAAAGUUUAUACCAGAACAAACUUAG